CCCAGUUUCAUUAGUUCUGAAUCAGAAUUCAGAACCCAAAUUUGAUCACAUGGAAUUGUUUAGCUUUGUCUAUAAUGUUCCUUCAUUGACCACAGUGAAUCGGUUAAAGGAAUCCCAAGAAUCCGAUGCUCGGCCGCCAUCUAAUCAGAGGUACAACUCCAUUCCCAAUUCUUUUUCUGUUUAUUAAUGCUAGAUUUGCUAAUUGACAAUGGAAAUUUUAGUUGUCAUUACAUAAUAUAGGUUGGUUUGUUUAUCAACCAUUGGAUAAAUAUCGAUUGGCGCGCUCUAAUAUGAUCAGAUUUAUAAGUAAGCAUGAGCAACACAAAUCCUUCUAGAACCCAAACCUCCAUUUUUCCUUGUCGUUGCCCAAUUGGAAUUUGAAAUUCAACAGGCCGGUCCGUAUGCUUCUGCAAUCCGAAGCCAUGGCUUCAACCCCGUGACUAACUUUCACUCGCAGAACUUUAACAAAUGCUUACUGCAUACUACACAGUACAACCACUAGCGUUUGAUUACUCAGGGAAAUCUUUCCGGCAUUUAUGGAGCUAACUGCCCAGAAUGAAUAAUUGCAAUGGAGGUAUUCCAUAAUGACCGUGACAUUUUGUAGAGUAAUCAUGUUACAUUGUGACGUGUUUAAGUUAAUUACUUUGUUGCAAUUUCGACAGGCUUGUAAUGGACAUGCCAUUACUUACGUUACGUACCACUGUAUGAUUCCAUUGGUAUGUUUCUUCCGAUUAUUCGAUGAUGAAGAAAUUAGUCAUUUGUUGAUCGUUCGAUAAGUUACUGGAUUAUGGUUGGUGCUGUGUAAGUGUAGGUGCAAAUGCAGUGGAG
Molecule: long non-coding RNA, 828 nt
Filed under: Olea europaea subsp. europaea
Lineage: Eukaryota; Viridiplantae; Streptophyta; Magnoliopsida; Lamiales; Oleaceae
Source: RNAcentral